This 460-nucleotide ribosomal RNA is filed under the name uncultured bacterium. RNAcentral's name for it is "partial 16S ribosomal RNA". It matches the Rfam family "Bacterial small subunit ribosomal RNA", at positions 338 to 795 of the family's 1533-position model. The record is from RNAcentral.
CCUACGGGUGGCAGCAGUGAGGAAUAUUGGUCAAUGGACGAGAGUCUGAACCAGCCAAGUAGCGUGAAGGAUGACUGCCCUAUGGGUUGUAAACUUCUUUUAUAUGGGAAUAAAACAGGGUAUGCAUACCCUCUUGAAUGUACCAUAUGAAUAAGGAUCGGCUAACUCCGUGCCAGCAGCCGCGGUAAUACGGAGGAUCCGAGCGUUAUCCGGAUUUAUUGGGUUUAAAGGGAGCGUAGGUGGAUUGUUAAGUCAGUUGUGAAAGUUUGCGGCUCAACCGUAAAAUUGCAGUUGAAACUGGCAGUGUUGAGUACAGUAGAGGUGGGCGGAAUUCGUGGUGUAGCGGUGAAAUGCUUAGAUAUCACGAAGAACUCCGAUUGCGAAGGCAGCUCACUGGACUGCAACUGACACUGAUGCUCGAAAGUGUGGGUAUCAAACAGGAUUAGAUACCCGGGUAGUC